AAAAACGUGAUUUUUGAAAUUAAAAUAAAAAAAUAAAAUAAAAAUGAUCUGUUUUUGUAAAUGAUCUCUUCAAAUGAUCAUGAUUUAAAUUUUUUGGUGAACUAUUCCUUUAAAAAUGUCCUUAAUUUCAGUAAUGUAAAUUCAGUCAUCAUAAAUAUUUUUGACUUGAAUAAAUCAUAUUGAGAAAGCAGCGCUCCUUCUGAAGGUCCCUAACUUAACAUGCAAUAUUGACCUUGAAUGUGUAAAUAGAUACGAAUGAAUAUCGCUGAUAAAGAGCUUGAUUUAUAGAUCUGCUGAGUGGAGACUUUGUUUUGUGUAUUCACACCAGCACCUGGACGUGGUUUGAUGAAAUGCAGCUACAGACUCAGGUUAAGUACAAAUCUAAAGGGCAUGGCAGCGAGCCAGAUACCUGACUCUACCAAUGAGAGCCCUGCGUUUUCUAGUCCAUGCUGCAAGGGUACUUAAGAGAAGGGGCAUGACAAAACCAGCCGUUGUACCCAUUACUUACACGGUCUGUCACAGUAAAGCAUUCUGACUGGAUGUACUGUCAACUGCCAGGUGCCAAGACGCACAUUCACGAUUCACACCGAGCAGAAAAGUCUUUGAUAUGCAGAUCACUGCUUGUCAAAUGUGGCUUUUGUCUCGGCUGUGGCUGAUGGCUUGUCUUGUGCUUGUUGAAUUGGCCAUUACAAUGCCCAUAAAACAAACUACUGCCGGAAUUACCUGCGAUGGAAGGAAUCUGCUGGAUCAUCCGGCGAGUUGGAAAAUAAACUGGACAGAUCUACUAUACAUUCAAAGGAAAGCUUUUGGCUUGAGUUGCAGAAGGCAUGGGAUAACAUUAGUGUUGAAGUCCUCAGGAAAUAUAUUGACACUAUUCCUGAGAGAUGUGCUGCUGUAAAGGUGGACAUACCAAAUGUACAAAUGGAUAAAAACAGUACAACUCACUUCAUCUGAUAUUUGUUGUGCUCAGAGCAACCAUCUGCAUGUUUCAUGAACAUUAUGAAAUCAAAUCAUGUUUUGGAGGCAAAAAAAAUAUUUUCAGAUCUGUCAGGUGUUCUAAUAAAUUUGGCCACCAUAUAAUAUAACUUAAUAUAUAUUCAAUUAUAUUACAUUAACUUUUUAUUAAAUUUGAUAUUAUAUUAUAUUAUAUUAUAUUAAAUAUUUUUUUUUGAACUGUGUAAAAAAAUAUACGACAUAGAUUUCUUAAACAGCUGCUAGUUUCAUGUCUCUCAACCAUAUCAAGUCAAUUUAAAUCAAAUUUCAUAUCCAUUUAUUUAUUUAUUACAUAGUAGUAGCUAUGUAACAAGUAGGCUAAUGUACUAAUCUUGGUGUUAAUUCAAUAUAUUAGUAAAUUAGUUAUGUCAAUUGAUUAAUCGCAUCCAAAAUAUAAGUUUUCGUUUACAUAAUAUGUGUGUGUACUGUGUUCAUUUAUUAUGCAUUCAGUAUAUAAAUACACACACAUACAGUAUAUAUUUUCCAAAUUUACAUGUAUUUACAUAGAUGUGGUUAAUCGCUUGACAGCACUAGAAAAAAAAAAUUCUGUCAGUUUUUGCUCUUAUAUCAUGUUAGACGGUGUAGCUUACUGAGAGCACUGUUUGUUGUAAUGCAUUUUUUUCCUAUUCCAGAUAAAAGCACAGUUAGUCUUGUCAUGCUGCAUUCAGAAUUCAGCCCAUCACAAUGCGUCUGACACAAACAGUUCUCUUUGAGCUACUGUUGGAUUUAAAUUCCAAUCAAGUGACAUCCCUGACAGAAAACUACUUCAUUUCACAAGUUUAAAUGGGCAGCACAGCUUGCCUUUCUUCAGCUCUGCAGGUCUUAGUUGGCAGAGCAGCAACAUGAUCUGAAUAUUUACACAUGGCAGCAGAUGCUGCAUCUGAGGCUGCUUUUUCUUUAUAUGUGUGUGUUUCUAUAUCUAUAUAUAAGUGUGUGAGGUAAAGCCAAACUUCUUCAUGUGUGUUACUCAUGCAUAACCUUGAGGGAGAUAAAAGACCAUUAAUAAAGCACCAGACAGCCAGAGUGUGCAUUUUACGCUUUUCUAAACUAAACACAUGAGCAUCCGUUUUGGAAUGGUUUCACUGUCGCUCUGAAAUGUUUGCACUUACUGAAGGGGACAAAAUUGCUAGUUCAAAUACAUACAUAAUUAUAUAUCUAAACGUGUGUGUGUGUGUGUGUGUGUUGUUAUAUUGCAUAUUUGUAAUUUAUUCCUGCAAAACUGAGUUUUCAGCAUCAUUGCUCCAUACUUUAGUGUCACACAAUCCUUCAGAAAUCAUUUUAAUAUGCUGAUUUGCUGUUCAAGAAACAUUUGUAAUGUUUCUUUAAAAUAAUGAGUGUUACAUCACUAUCCCUAUUACAAAGAAGUACUUGCUGCUUUUCCUUUGCACUUACUAUAUUAAUUUUAAAAGCUAUUAUGUCUUUUAUUCAGAAACUUACAUGUCAUUAUCAGCUCUGUGUUUUCCUUUUAGAAGAAGAUGAGAGGAGCAAAGAUUUGACAGACAGCAACUGUAAGAUGGUGUAAUGUUCCCAGAGCGCGAUGCUUCCUUCCUUCUCUGAUGUGGACAGUGCAGCAGUUCCACUGGCUGCAACACAAGACACGAGCGGGAGUGAGAGGCAGCUCCCAUGUCCUGUGUUGCAGCCCCCGGCCCAGCCACAGGUCACCUUCAGCUCUUCUGCUUCUGCUGCCUUGCUGCAAAAAAAGAUAGAGAGGCACACACUGAGUGUAAAGGAGAGAAAGAGAGAAAGAAUGCUUCCAUGCCUUGAACACCACAUCCAUCACAAACACUGAAAAUAGCCUUCCUGUUUCAUCUGGUAUCGGAGUAGCCCUACCCCUCACGCAUGACCACGCCAGGGGAACGCAGCCACUCUGGCCCAAAUUGCUUAAAGUGAGGUUAAUGACAUCGUAAGGCACCUUCCAGCAAAGACAGAGAAUCUCUCGAGAGUCUUCCUCAGAUAUCGAACAAAGUCAGAGCAAAGCAUUUCUAUUUUUAUCACAG
Cyprinus carpio carpio is the source of this 2990-nucleotide long non-coding RNA. The record is from Ensembl. Lineage: Eukaryota; Metazoa; Chordata; Actinopteri; Cypriniformes; Cyprinidae.